UGUGCCUUGCCGGCUCUGCACUGGUUGCACUCAGGCAAGCUGACGGGAAUCGGCGGUGGCAGCCAUGCGAAUGAGGGCUGCUGUGAAGUUACAGUUGCAAUAUAAAGAUGACAAGAAGUUCAAGACAAGAUAAAGGACCCCAGUGAGAUUGGACACUGAGAGGUGCACCAGACUUCCUCCUUUUGCUUGGCACUUCUCUUUUUAUUCUUUGAUUAAAGUCUUUUUCCUUUACUUACAUCCUC
Agelaius phoeniceus (red-winged blackbird) is the source of this 242-nucleotide long non-coding RNA. RefSeq lists it as uncharacterized. NCBI's taxonomy places the organism in Eukaryota, Metazoa, Chordata, Aves, Passeriformes, Icteridae. The record is from RefSeq and is a predicted model, not a curated record.